GUGGGGAAUUUUGGACAAUGGGCGAAAGCCUGAUCCAGCCAUGCCGCGUGCAGGAUGAAGGCCUUCGGGUUGUAAACUGCUUUUGUACGGAACGAAAAGACUCUGGUUAAUACCUGGGGUCCAUGACGGUACCGUAAGAAUAAGCACCGGCUAACUACGUGCCAGCAGCCGCGGUACUACGUAGGGUGCAAGCGUUAAUCGGAAUUACUGGGCGUAAAGCGUGCGCAGGCGGUUAUAUAAGACAGAUGUGAAACUCCCGGGCUCAACCUGGGAACUGCAUUUGUGACUGUAUAGCUAGAGUACGGCAGAGGGGGAUGGAAUUCCGCGUGUAGCAGUGAAAUGCGUAGAUAUGCGGAGGAACACCGAUGGCGAAGGCAAUCCCCUGGGCCUGUACUGACGCUCAUGCACGAAAGCGUGGGGAGCAAACAGGAUUAGAUACCCGAGUAGUCC
This 450-nucleotide ribosomal RNA is filed under the name uncultured bacterium. RNAcentral describes it as "partial 16S ribosomal RNA". It matches the Rfam family "Bacterial small subunit ribosomal RNA", at positions 354 to 796 of the family's 1533-position model. The record is from RNAcentral.